This 207-nucleotide ribosomal RNA is filed under the name uncultured bacterium. RNAcentral describes it as "partial 16S ribosomal RNA". It matches the Rfam family "Bacterial small subunit ribosomal RNA", at positions 568 to 774 of the family's 1533-position model. The record is from RNAcentral.
CGCGCAGGCGGCCAGGUCAGUCGAAUGUGAAAGCCCCCGGCUCAACUGGGGAAGGUCGUUCGAUACCGCCUGGCUUGAAGAUAGGAGAGGGAAGUGGAAUUUCAGGUGUAGUGGUGAAAUGCGUAGAUAUCUGAAGGAACACCAGUGGCGAAGGCGACUUUCUGGCCUAUUCUUGACGCUGAGGCGCGAAAGCUAGGGGAGCGAACG